This 433-nucleotide ribosomal RNA is filed under the name uncultured bacterium. Its description in RNAcentral is "partial 16S ribosomal RNA". It matches the Rfam family "Bacterial small subunit ribosomal RNA", at positions 29 to 507 of the family's 1533-position model. The record is from RNAcentral.
AACGAACGCUGGCGGCAUGCCUAACACAUGCAAGUCGAACGAGACCUUCGGGUCUAGUGGCGCACGGGUGCGUAACGCGUGGGAACCUGCCCUUAGGUUCGGAAUAACUCCCCGAAAGGGGUGCUAAUACCGGAUAAUGUCUUCGGACCAAAGAUUCAUCGCCUUUGGAUGGGCCCGCGUUGGAUUAGCUAGUUGGUAGGGUAAAAGCCUACCAAGGCGACGAUCCAUAGCUGGUCUGAGAGGAUGAUCAGCCACACUGGGACUGAGACACGGCCCAGACUCCUACGGGAGGCAGCAGUGGGGAAUAUUGGACAAUGGGCGAAGGCCUGAUCCAGCAAUGCCGCGUGAGUGAUGAAGGCCUUAGGGUUGUAAAGCUCUUUUACCCGGGAUGAUAAUGACAGUACCGGGAGAAUAAGCUCCGGCUAACUCCGUG